Molecule: long non-coding RNA, 261 nt
Filed under: Coturnix japonica (Japanese quail)
Lineage: Eukaryota; Metazoa; Chordata; Aves; Galliformes; Phasianidae
Description: lncRNA (ENSCJPG00005001053.1)
Source: RNAcentral
CAGGGUAUAGGGCUAUAGGGCAGAGAUAUGGGGCAGGAUAUGGGGCUAUGGGGCUGAGCUAUGGGGCUCUAUGGGGCAGGGUAUGGGGCUAUAGGGCUGAGCUAUGGGGCUGCUUUAUAGGGCUCUAUGGGGGCUAUGGGGCUGCCCUAUAGGGGGGCUAUGGGGCAGGGUUAUAGGGCUAUAGGGCAGAGAUAUGGGGCAGGAUAAUGGGCAUGGGCUUGAGCUAUGGGCUCUAAUGGGGCAGAGGUGAUGAGGGGCUAU